Molecule: microRNA precursor, 59 nt
Organism: Monodelphis domestica (gray short-tailed opossum)
Lineage: Eukaryota; Metazoa; Chordata; Mammalia; Didelphimorphia; Didelphidae
Product: mdo-mir-7398e
Source: Ensembl
AGUGUAGAGAAGGGUGAAAAUGCUGUGUUCUGUCAGGUAAUUCUCCCUUCUCUUACUGU